Molecule: non-coding RNA, 26 nt
Filed under: Rattus norvegicus (Norway rat)
Lineage: Eukaryota; Metazoa; Chordata; Mammalia; Rodentia; Muridae
Source: RNAcentral
UGGAAACCCUGGUCUGUGGUUCCGAA